This 703-nucleotide ribosomal RNA is filed under the name Coolia malayensis. Its description in RNAcentral is "partial large subunit ribosomal RNA". It matches the Rfam family "Eukaryotic large subunit ribosomal RNA", at positions 227 to 890 of the family's 3401-position model. Lineage: Eukaryota; Dinophyceae; Peridiniales; Ostreopsidaceae. The record is from RNAcentral.
UCAUGUGUAUGUUUUGUGUACAGUGUGCAUUAUAUGAAUCACAUUCAUUGACAAUUGAAUGCAAAUAGAAUGGUAAAUUUCAUUUAAUCAUAAAUAUGUUGUUGACAACUUAUAGCAAACAAAUACCAUGAGGGAAAUGUGAAAAGGAUUUUGAAAAGAAAAUUAAAAGAGCUUGCAAUUGCUGAACUGAUAAGCAAACAAAACAUACGUGUGUAUGCAAGAUUGUUGUAAUGCUUAGCAUCUUUUGCAAGGCUAUUGCAAUGAUUUUUUGUAUAGUGAUGCUACCUUUUUUUAGAAUUUGGAAUGUCUUUUUUUGAGUGUGAAUGGAAUUUUGUUUGUUAGCAAAGGAAUGCACUUUUAGAUUCAUUGUUUGAUUUGAUUUAAAAAUGUUUGUGACACAUGUCUUUGUGUUAGUUUCAUGAUUCAACCAAGGACAUUGUGUUUGAUCCAUGUCAGCAAUACAUGUUUUGUUUGACCCGUCUUGAAACACGGACCAAGGAGUUUAAUUUAUGUGCAAGAUCAUGAAACUGACAUUUGUAUAUCAAUGAAAAUAUUUUGUUGGGAUUUGUGCACCAACAACUGAUAAGUUGUGUGACGCGACGUUGAGUUUGAGCAUGUUGAUUAAAACCCGAAAGAUGGUGAACUAUGCCUGAACAGAAUGAAGUCAGAGGAAACUCUGAUGGAAGUUCGUAUCGAUACUGAC